AUGCAUAGGAAUGAAAAUGAGGUUAUCAAGAAUAUUGUUAAAAAUGUUACACACAUACUUGAGUUAUCAGACUUGUUCGUUGUUGAUAAUCCUGUUGGAGUUGAAUCUCGAGUGCAAGAUAUGAUUAAACUUUUAGAAAUUCAACAAUCAAAUGAUGUUAAACUACUAGGGAUGUGGGGGAUGGGUGGAAUCGGUAAAACCCCCACUGCAAAAGCCAUUUACAAUAAAGUUGGCCGCGAUUUUGAAGGUAGGAGCUUUCUUGCAAAUAUCAGGGAGGUUUGGGAGCAAGUUCGUGGGCAAUAA
Non-coding RNA from Vicia faba (fava bean), 303 nucleotides. NCBI's taxonomy places the organism in Eukaryota, Viridiplantae, Streptophyta, Magnoliopsida, Fabales, Fabaceae. The record is from the annotation of a GenBank genome assembly.